CAAAAUCUGUCAAAUCUAGAACCACAAGGUCAGCUGGAAGGUAUCUACCCUCUAUGAACACUGGACUGAAACGACAGACUGACACUGCCACUGAUGGGUCACAUUUGGGUCCACUGACCCAGAGAGGAUACUCUAACUCAGAACUGAUCAAACCCAACCUCUCUAUGGCUCUCGAAGCAACAAAGGAAUGAGAAGCACCGGGGUCCAUCAAAGCAUACACAUCUGAACACCCAAUGAUGAGAUUACCUGACACCACUGUGUUCGA
Molecule: long non-coding RNA, 265 nt
Filed under: Manihot esculenta (cassava)
Lineage: Eukaryota; Viridiplantae; Streptophyta; Magnoliopsida; Malpighiales; Euphorbiaceae
Description: long non-coding RNA (MESC_LNC000042)
Source: RNAcentral